This 512-nucleotide ribosomal RNA is filed under the name uncultured bacterium. RNAcentral's name for it is "bacterial SSU rRNA". It matches the Rfam family "Bacterial small subunit ribosomal RNA", at positions 17 to 518 of the family's 1533-position model. The record is from RNAcentral.
UCCUGGCUCAGAACGAACGCUGGCGGCGCGUCUUAAGCAUGCAAGUCGAACGGCAAGAGGUAGCAAUACCUCCUAGAGUGGCGGACUGGUGAGUAACACGUGGGUGACAUACCCUUCAGAUGGGGAUAGCUAUUAGAAAUAGUAGAUAAUACCGAAUACGAGCACAGGGGUUAGAGAUCUGUGAGGAGAGGAGCUAAGGCUCCGCUGAAGGAAUGGCCUGCGGCCCAUUAGCUAGUUGGUGAGGUAAGAGCCCACCAAGGCGAUGAUGGGUAUCCGGCCUUAGAGGGUGAACGGACACAUUGGGACUGAGAUACGGCCCAGACUCCUACGGGAGGCAGCAGCUAAGAAUAUUCCGCAAUGGACGAAAGUCUGACGGAGCGACGCCGCGUGGAUGAAGAAGGCCGGAAGGUUGUAAAAUCCUUUUGAAACUGAAGAAUAAGCGUUGUAGGGAAUGACAGCGUGGUGACAGUAGGUUUUGAAUAAGCAACGGCUAAUUACGUGCCAGCCGCCGC